Molecule: ribosomal RNA, 468 nt
Filed under: uncultured bacterium
Lineage: Bacteria
Description: partial 16S ribosomal RNA
Rfam family: Bacterial small subunit ribosomal RNA
Source: RNAcentral
GACGAACGCUGGCGGCGUGCUUAACACAUGCAAGUCGAACGGAAAGGCCCUGCUCUUGUGGGGUGCUCGAGUGGCGAACGGGUGAGUAACACGUGAGUAAACCGCCCUUGACUUUGGGAUAACUUUUGGAAACUGGGGCUAAUACCGGAUAGGAGCUCCUGCAGCACGGUGUUCAUUGGAAAGUUUCGGCGGUUGGGGAUGGUCUCGCGGCUUAUCCGCUAGUUGGUGUGGUAGUGGCUUACCAAGGCUGUGACGGGUAGCCGGCCUGAGAGGGUGACCGGCCACAUUGGGACUGAGAUACGGCCCAGACUCCUACGGGAGGCAGCAGUGGGGAAUAUUGCACAAUGGGCGGAAGCGUGAUGCAGCAACGCCGCGUGCGGGAUGACGGCCUUCGGGUUGUAAACCGCUUUCGCCUGUGACGAAGCGUGAGUGACGGUAAUGGGUAAAGAAGCACCGGCUAACUACGUG